GGAUUUGAUUGCCUGCUGGAGCCUGUUGCCAGGGGACAUGUCUUUGGGUGUUCUGUUGGUGACAAGUGUUCAAGGGCACCACUCCAGGAAGGAUGGAGUUACUCUUAUUUCUGCAUUCAGGGAAAUCUCCUGAACCAAAAAAUGAGAAGACUCCAGGUUAGCCACUAACCAGCUGUAAGACUUGGGACACGUCCAUGGAACUCUCUGGAUUUAGUGACUUUCAGUCCAUCCUGUUCAGCUUUAACAGCACAUGGCAAACAGGUGAAUCCAUGAAUGGAACCUGCAUCAGAUGUCCUACAUGCACUCACGGUGCUGAGUAUCUGCGGUCAGUGUCUGCCACUAGUACAUACCACCUUGAGUCAUUAAGGCCAAGCCUGGUGACUCACUCCAGGACUCCAUUGUGUGACAUUUUCCUGUGACUUGAAUGAGGACACUGAAAGCAUGCACACCUACCUGUGGACCCCCUAAAGCUGGAAAGAUGGCAGAGAUUACCUUAUUGAAUUACUUAAAGUAGGUGUAGCUGUUGUGAUAGGUAAGACCCCAGAUUUCAGUGGCUUAAUUCCACAGAAGAUCCUUUCUUACUCUUGCAAGAUCCUGCACAGUAGCCAGCAGGCACCCUUCCAUACAGCGACUCAGGGACUUAGAGACCUCUGUCUUCAACUCACCAUCUGCUGGGACCUCAGGUGUUCCCUUCCACCUGGCAGAUGAGGAAGGAGAGAGCGUGGAAGACCACAAGGGAGAUUUAUCAAGAAUCCAGAGUGGAGGGAGACCACCUGAUUUGCCCAAGGUGACAUGGCUGCUCUGGGCCAAAUGAGAUUCGGGUCCAUAUCAGCCUUGUUCAGAUUUCAUGUUUUUAUAAAGGAAUGGAUUUCUGAACCAGAGUGGAGUAAUCCUGCUCUCCUUCAUG
Suricata suricatta (meerkat) is the source of this 907-nucleotide long non-coding RNA. RefSeq lists it as uncharacterized. Lineage: Eukaryota; Metazoa; Chordata; Mammalia; Carnivora; Herpestidae. The record is from RefSeq and is a predicted model, not a curated record. The transcript is spliced from 3 exons.